RNAcentral lists this transfer RNA (92 nucleotides) under Aminobacterium colombiense DSM 12261. It matches the Rfam family "tRNA". From Rfam's summary of the family: Transfer RNA (tRNA) molecules are approximately 80 nucleotides in length. Their secondary structure includes four short double-helical elements and three loops (D, anti-codon, and T loops). The record is from Rfam by way of RNAcentral. Lineage: Bacteria; Thermotogati; Synergistota; Synergistia; Synergistales; Aminobacteriaceae.
GCGGGAAUAGCUCAGUUGGCUAGAGCGAUGGCCUUCCAAGCCGUAGGUAGAUAGAAUGUGUCGGGAAUCCAGUUAUACCAAGGGUUCCCGUU